CACCUUCCCCAUACCAUGUACCUCCCAGCAGGAUCCAUCAACCUGCUCUAACCCAACUUUCUGGGCACACUCUUUACUAAGGAUUGUCUCUUACAUAAACAACCUGGUAAGCAGGGUUUACCCACAUGCCCACAGAGCCAGAGGUGGCAUUCACAGAGCAUGCAGGUAAUGGGCCUCAAGUCAGCCUCAGGGAGGGAGUGCUCCAUGAUGAGGGACAGUGUGGUGGGACACAACAUGUGCAUAACUGGGAGAACAGUGACUGAUGCACCACAGCACACAGCAUGCAGGUAAUGGGCCUCAAGUCAGCCUCAGGGAGGGAGUGCUCCAUGAUGAGGGACAGUGUGGUGGGACACAACAUGUGCAUAACUGGGAGAACAGUGACUGAUGCACCACAGCAAUGACGGCUCCC
Molecule: long non-coding RNA, 409 nt
Organism: Eriocheir sinensis (Chinese mitten crab)
Lineage: Eukaryota; Metazoa; Arthropoda; Malacostraca; Decapoda; Varunidae
Exons: 3
Source: RefSeq, a predicted model, not a curated record